GCCUGGGUGGCUCAGUUGGUUAAGCGUCCGACUUCAGCUCAGGUCGUGAUCUCGCCGUCCGUGGGUUUAAGCCCCACGUCAGGCC
This is a non-coding RNA of Felis catus (domestic cat), 85 nucleotides long. The record is from Rfam. NCBI's taxonomy places the organism in Eukaryota, Metazoa, Chordata, Mammalia, Carnivora, Felidae.